CGGGGAAAGUGAAAACGCAGAUAAGGGGAGACUACUGCAUAACUAAGUACAGCACCUCUGUGAGCCUAAGUUCCUUCUAUGUAAAAUGGGGACGCUUCGUAAGUGAAACUUAAAUAAGAAAAUUGAUAUUGCCUAGGGCCUGAUACAUUCUAAGUGCUCAUAAAAUGUCUGGAAUUAAUUCACAAUGCUAUGUCCCUCUUUCAUCAUACCCAGCCAAGGUCUCUCUCAUUUUUUCUGGAUAAACACUUUGGCAAAAUGGUUCUUUCCUCCCAGCCUUUUCGGGUCUGAGACACCCCUACCAAAACCGGAGUCUACUCAACAGGCCCAAAAGAGCCGAGAGGGAACGGAUAAGGCUUACACUGCAGCUGUCCAUCUCCUGCUGGGGCCCUGUUUCCAGGCAGCAGGGACCGCCCCUCAGCCAGCUGUGUGGACUUUUCAUCACUGGCUAUUUCAGGACAGAGUCCAAGAUAAGCACUUCUCUGGGGCUUCCUUUCAGACAAAGCUCUCCGGAGACUUGAAGCUCAUUAGCCUGACCUUUGGUCUCUGGAGAACAUGAGGAAAUAUCCUACUCUGAGAGAAUGGAAACACCAAGCGCCCAAGGGGCAGGCCUGAGCAACAAGACACAGAGCUAGAAAAGGAGGCAAAAUGAAGAGAGCGAGUCCCAGAGAGGUUGUAUGAUUCGUCCAAGGUCACACAGCCAGAGAGCUGCAGAGCUGGACUGAAGCCCAGGUCUGCUGAUUUCGAGUCCUGGGCUCCUCCCCAGAUUGAGAAGAAGAAAUGGCGAUUCUUCUUUACUAGCAUGAAAAACAGGAAAGUGAAGAGACUCACUGGCUGAGAACAGGGAGGAGCCUGAGAGAUCACUGAUCCUGCCUAAACCCGGACGAGCCUCUCCACGCAUCCUCGCUUUACUGGCCCUAUGCUGGUUCUUGAGGACACACUGGACUGCUUUCAGCCUCCACAACAAAGGGUGCAGUCCUUACCGGAAGCCCAGAAGCCCUCAAGACAUGGAUCAACUUCCUUCAGCCAGUCAGAUUCACUCCUCCUUCUCCUGCAAAGUACCGGCUCGUCCCUAGACAUGCACACACUCGGCCACCUCCAUCCACUUGUCGGUGCUGUUUUCAUUUGCCUGUGCAGCAUUUUUCCCAUUGGCUUCCUGUCCAGUUUUUCAAACCCAGCAGGGAUGUCACUUUCUCUGGGAAAUCCUUCCUGGCUGAAUCCCCCUGUGCUCUUUGGUGCUUCCCUAACUCUCAUUGAC
RNAcentral lists this long non-coding RNA (1255 nucleotides) under Equus asinus (donkey). RNAcentral describes it as "lncRNA (ENSEASG00005024369.1)". Lineage: Eukaryota; Metazoa; Chordata; Mammalia; Perissodactyla; Equidae. The record is from RNAcentral.